AUGCCUUCUCCUUCCAAUGCCCUUCCAUCCAAAGCCGAGCUACAGCCUUUCCUCACCCCUCGCGAUCCAAUCUAAUCUAUUCCCCUAUUCCUUCUCUUCAACCUUUAAAUCUCCAAAGCCUCUGUGAUCCAAUCUGGUUUUCUUUUUAGCCAUAUUGAUGAAUCAGACUGGAGCUUGGUGGUGCAGCGGAGGAAGUGUAUAGAUGACAGUUUCAAGCAGAUUGGCUGGCCGCUGUUGUCAUUGAGGAUACAGAGUUCUUGGGUGCAGUUGGCCCCUUGGAGCAGAUUAUGGAGAAGAUGGAACAUCUACGUCCUCCUAGGCUGCACUCUAAUUGGUGGGUGUGUGGACUCUAUGGACGUUGUAGCACAUGAUCAAGUAUGGAGGAUGAGCAGAAGGAGGAAGCGAGUUGGGGCAUGGAUCUGAUGCACGUAAGGGGCCUAUCACAUUAUAAUUAUUUUCCUCAUGUUGUUCAGAAUCAACAAUGGCGCUGACAUGGAAUCCAAUUCCCCAAUCGCUCCACUCCCUGGCGACUGCAGCAAUGGCGAACUAUUGUGGACUGCUUCCGGCCUAUGAGGUAGAAGAAGAGAUCAUGACACCCAGGAAGAAGGAGGGUCUCUACAAAAACACACUCAUGCAAAGUCCAUAUCGUGUUCCUCUUCGGAUCGGCUAUUCUAUUGUUCAAUCGAUCCACAACUGAUCUAGCCUCCGCCAGGACAGCCACGGGCGGCUUUACUUGAAGUCCUGCCACAUGCCAUUGCGAAGAAUUUUAUGGGAGUCUAUUCUGACCUUCUUGAGCCUUUCCUGGUGUGGACCCCACCUGCCGCAUGCCAUUGCUAACAUGUCUAAUUUUGUAGGACAAAGAGACGAAGGCAAGCACGUAGGGUUGCUAGCACUGAUGCCCACUUUGUCGGAGAAACAGUAGGAACACAAGCAUGUUAUUUUUCUGAUGAUAAAAUCUUCCAAGUCCGCUGAUGUUGUUCGCAUCUAUAUCAAGCUAUAUAUUUUCUAUUUGUUCACUAGAUGCCUGAUGAAAUUCCUAUCGGAGCCAACAAUUUAUUUUACUACCAGAUAUAUCUAUCAAACUCUGAGGACAAGAUCAUCAAGUCUCAGAGUUAGCAAUAUGGCAUUACAGGGGUUAUUGUUGACAUUAAGUAAUUGUUGUUCAUAUAUAGAGGUUAGUGUCGAACCACUAACAGCGAGCGAAUGAUUGGAGGUGAUGUCGUAUCGUUAUGUAAGCGUUUCUCUCCACAAGAUGGCGAUAUAAAUGUCCGAACCUAUAUGGGUGAUGGCGUACACAAAGUAGUCUGAGUACACUAUGUUCUGAUCAAAGAUGAAUACACAACAGGGUGAGGAUCGAUGCUUGAUGAGCUAUGUGUUCGUAUUUAAUGCUAGAUGGGAAAG
Molecule: long non-coding RNA, 1401 nt
Organism: Triticum aestivum (bread wheat)
Lineage: Eukaryota; Viridiplantae; Streptophyta; Magnoliopsida; Poales; Poaceae
Exons: 7
Source: RefSeq, a predicted model, not a curated record